Molecule: transfer RNA, 69 nt
Filed under: Sphaerodactylus townsendi
Lineage: Eukaryota; Metazoa; Chordata; Lepidosauria; Squamata; Sphaerodactylidae
Description: tRNA-Ala
Rfam family: tRNA
About the family: Transfer RNA (tRNA) molecules are approximately 80 nucleotides in length.
Source: RNAcentral
GCUGUAGCUCAGUGGUAGAGUAUCUCCUUGGCAUGCAGAAGGUCUCAGGUUCAAUCCCAGGCAUCUCCA